This 402-nucleotide ribosomal RNA is filed under the name uncultured Roseiarcus sp. Its description in RNAcentral is "bacterial SSU rRNA". It matches the Rfam family "Bacterial small subunit ribosomal RNA", at positions 355 to 774 of the family's 1533-position model. The record is from RNAcentral. Lineage: Bacteria; Pseudomonadati; Pseudomonadota; Alphaproteobacteria; Hyphomicrobiales; Roseiarcaceae.
UGGGGAAUAUUGGACAAUGGGCGCAAGCCUGAUCCAGCCAUGCCGCGUGAGUGAUGACGGCCUUAGGGUUGUAAAGCUCUUUCGCUCGGGACGAUAAUGACGGUACCGAGAUAAGAAGCCCCGGCUAACUUCGUGCCAGCAGCCGCGGUAAUACGAAGGGGGCUAGCGUUGUUCGGAAUUACUGGGCGUAAAGCGCGUGUAGGCGGGUCUUUAAGUCAGGGGUGAAAUGCCAAGGCUCAACCUUGGAACUGCCUUUGAUACUGGAGACCUUGAGUCCGGGAGAGGUGAGUGGAAUUGCGAGUGUAGAGGUGAAAUUCGUAGAUAUUCGCAAGAACACCAGUGGCGAAGGCGGCUCACUGGCCCGGAACUGACGCUGAGACGCGAAAGCGUGGGGAGCAAACA